CCUACGGGAGGCUGCAGUGGGGGAUAUUGCACAAUGGGGGAAACCCUGAUGCAGCGACGCCGCGUGGGCGAAGAAGUAUUUCGGUAUGGAAAGCCCUAUCAGCAGGGGAGAAGAAAUGACGGUACCUGAGUAAGAAGCACCGGCUAAAUACGUGCCAGCAGCCGCCGUAAUACGUAUGGUGCAAGCGUUAUCCGGAUUUACUGGGUGGAAAGGGAGCGAAGGCGGCACGGCAAGCCGGGUGGGAAGGCCGCCGGACCAACCGCGGGACGGUGUUGGGAACUACCGGGCUGGAGUGCCGGAGGGGUAGGCGGAAUUCCUAGUGUAGCGGUGAAAUGCGUAGAUAUUAGGAGGAACACCAGUGGCGAAGGCGGCCUACUGGACGGUGACUGACGCUGAGGCUCGAAAGCGUGGGGAGCAAACAGGAUUAGAUACCCGAGUAGUC
RNAcentral lists this ribosomal RNA (442 nucleotides) under uncultured bacterium. Its description in RNAcentral is "partial 16S ribosomal RNA". It matches the Rfam family "Bacterial small subunit ribosomal RNA", at positions 338 to 795 of the family's 1533-position model. The record is from RNAcentral.